This is a non-coding RNA of Paramuricea clavata, 341 nucleotides long. NCBI's taxonomy places the organism in Eukaryota, Metazoa, Cnidaria, Anthozoa, Malacalcyonacea, Plexauridae. The record is from the annotation of a GenBank genome assembly.
AAUUGAUCACACAGUGCGAAGUACUUAUACUGAUAGUAAACAUUAUGGUACACUGUACUUUUACCAAAGGGAUAAAUGUUAUACCUUUACAUUGUAAGAACAUCCACCAAGUCAUCUGAGAAGAGAAGCACUAGAGAUGUUGUUCAUGAGGAAGAAAGGAAGAGAGAGAGCGCUGCAGAAUGAACUGCAGCAGAAAAUGUCUUCUUGCAUUGUGAAGUUUAGAUGGGAUUUGUGUCACUGUUGGAAAAAAGGUUGGCAUUCAUACAUACAGCUUAGGUAUUAUAAAAAAGUAUUGCUAAAUGUCAUUUGAAAACUGUAGCGAGGUGACAACAGCAUCAUGA